Non-coding RNA from Erinaceus europaeus (western European hedgehog), 115 nucleotides. The record is from Rfam. Lineage: Eukaryota; Metazoa; Chordata; Mammalia; Eulipotyphla; Erinaceidae.
UCUACAGCUGAUACCACCUUAAACACGCCCAAUCUCAUCUGAUGUCGAAAACUAAGUAGGGUCGGGCCUAGUUAGUACUUGGCUGAGAGACAGAGAAGACAGAGAGGCAGAGAGA